This 86-nucleotide transfer RNA is filed under the name Lachnospiraceae bacterium. RNAcentral's name for it is "tRNA-Ser". It matches the Rfam family "tRNA". Rfam says of the family: Transfer RNA (tRNA) molecules are approximately 80 nucleotides in length. Lineage: Bacteria; Bacillati; Bacillota; Clostridia; Lachnospirales; Lachnospiraceae. The record is from RNAcentral.
GGAGAUGUACCCAAGAGGCUGAAGGGUCCGCACUCGAAAUGCGGCAGGUCGGUAACGGCGCAAGGGUUCAAAUCCCUUCAUCUCCG